GAGACCAAGGGUGCCCUGCUCAAUGUCAGCCCUGACUCUGUGCCACGUGCACUCAGCUCUGCCACGGAGGUGCAUGGCUCUGUAGACGUGGACGGUGAGCUGGGGAGGAAGGUGGUCUUGGAGAGAAAUGCCCCAUGGGGAGCUGAGACCUGUGUGUCAUGGGAUCAUCCUGGAUUUGGCUUAAAAUCCACGUGGCUGUGGAAAUCCCAGGGUGCACCGAGGAUCUGUGGGGGAGCAGGGGUAAGUCCAGGUGAACCUCGAGCUGUUCUCAGCCCUGAGGUUUGGGUCACUCCGAGAGCACUUGGGUCUCUGCCGAACGGCACAGAUCAUUCUCAGGCCCUUACAACCAUCCGGGUCACUCUAGAAUUCCUUUUAGGACUCCUGGGCUGGGCUGUGGCUAUUCAGGACUCUGGGUAAGAGCCCUUGGAGUCACCUGGGAGGUAGAAUCGCCAUUUUCUAGCAGCCAUCUUGAAUGGCAGAUUCCCUGCAGUUCAAGCUGGGGCUGCCCAAGGGGUUCUGGGGGGUCCUGGGUGCCUUCCAGUUGCCCCUCCAGGUGCACCCCCUCCUCCCCCAGGACACUGACCGGCGGGGGCCAUCGUGGGGGACCUUGUGCUCUCUGGCUCUGGCUGGCUCAGCCAGUGGGAGCCUGUGGGGCUGGGAGGGAGGAGGGUGUGAUGAGGCAUCUCCUUCCCGCUGGGCUCCUCCCCACCUCUUUCCUCCUUUUCCAAGUCCCCUGACCAUCCCUCCCCUAUCUCUCCAGGUCUCUUAAAUUACCACGGUGCCAGCUACAUGGCCCGGGUGGGUGGUUCCCCACACUGCCUACCCCUUCAUACCUCGCCCCAUUACACCCUCCUGGAAUCAUUCUCACUGGAGGCUGCACCGUUUCCUGCUGCCCACGAUGAACAAAGCAGGAAACUGUCUUUUCCAGACUUCCCCACGAAGUGAGGUUUUGACGACCUCAUUCUCCAAGAGCAAACCCAGCCCCUGGAGUCCGUUCUUUCCCUGCGCGCGUGGACACCCCUGCAGCAGUGGCUCCUUUUGGUGGCCGCUCUUCAGACACGUGCUAGAGAGCAAUCAUUGAUGACAACGUUUUCUUUCAAAAGGCCCAGAAAACAAAAUUAAAUCUUGGGACUCGAAGCUUCCUGGGCCUGUGCCACGAAGGCCCAUGCUUAGCCGGUCUGGUGCCAGGCUCUGUGACGUGUGGAAACCAGGCCCACCGACCACACAGCAGUGGCUGAGGAUGGCUCCCUCCUCGGCUACUCUCUGAAAUGGUAGAGGCCACUCUCAUGGCUGAGUGGUCUCCGCCGUUCUGCAGAGGUGUGGAUAAGAACAGGAGUUCCUGCUUGUCUCCUAGGGGUCCGUAUUGAACGUUGGCAAUCAGUGGAAAUCCUGUCUCAGGCCCUCUCGGGGCCCCACACUGAUCAUUGUAUUUAAAUCCUCCCAGUGUCCUGCAGACACCUACCUCCCAGACCAAAGAGGGACCUUGCUGGUGGCCAGGAAACAAGCUGAAGCACAGAGAGGAGAGAAAGAGACAGAGUUGGGUCCUCGGGUCACCUUAAAAGGCUGUGAGACUUUUUGCCAGGGCAGGGCCUGGCGGGUGGUGGAGAUGCAGGAUGAAGGACUUAAGGAGGGAUCUUUUACUUUCAGUGUGAAAGUGACCUGUGUUUUUAUGAGGGGGCUAGAGAAAUACUCAGAAUCUGAGAGCAGGCAGUUGGAGUGGGAUCUCAGCAAACUUCCGUGUCUGCAUGGUCCUGCAACCAUCGCCCUGGACAGAGGUCUCAGCUGGGUAGAGAUGGACGGUUGUCAGGGCACAGCCUGUCCUUAGGGGGUGCUAGGAAUGGGGAUUGGGGUGAAGAGGAGUUCAGGAAAGAGGGGUGAGGCAUGGGGAACCUGCUGGCUUAGAGGAUGCAAAGGGGCAGGUUUUAUGGACGCUUUAUGCAGGUCCCUUUCAUAAAGAUACUUGCCCAGCCUGAGCAGAAACCCACACCCUAGAGUUUGUUUCUUCCCUGUGGGCACCCCCCGCCCCCGCAGCAGCGGCUUCUUUCAGUGGCAGAGGCUGACUCUUUUUGCAGCUUCUCCAGCACUUGCAAAUGCAACUUCCUUGCACCCACUUCAGACACUUUACAGCUGGAACCCCUUCCUUCAAGGUUAGGGGCCCAGGCCCACAGCCCCUACCUCCAAGUUUCCACGUUUGAAGAAUCCCAACCUUUUCCCUUUGCCUCCUCAGCCUCAGGGGUGACACCUCAGAGCUCCUGUUUACCUCUUUAGCCACCAGGUUAGUAAUUUUACACCCAUGCAAGUGUGUACAGGAAUCUUCCGGAUCCAAGUGGCUGGUGUGGGCGUUGUCUUCUGUCUGAACCCUGGCCCUUGUCUGUGCAGAUUCCUCCCCUCCUGUCCGGGAGAGAAGAGACAGUUUCGAUGUCAUGUGGAGACAGGAGGCUGUGGUCAACGAGGGGAGGCUGUGGUCAACGAGGGGAGGCUGUGGUGGGGGGUGGCGUUCUGAGUCACUUGGCUGGCUUGGGAAUGUGAGCUGGGCCAGGUGCACCUUAGAGAGCCUGGGUGGUGCUGGGGACCUUCAGGCUCUGGAGUCCUGGGUGACCCUGACAGGUGCAUGUACCCACAUCUCCUUGGCCCCUGUCUCUGUUGCUAAUGUCCCUGCACAGACCCCCCCCAGCCGUCAUUUACAGAUUCCCAGCAGUGAAGCACACGGGCUUAGGUUAAAAUCACUGAGCCCCUUGCACAGCGGCCUUCUGGUCCCCUCUGCUGUAAGGCAGGACCACCUGUCAGCCCCUGUCUUCUGGGGACCCCACUAGGCCUAAGAGAUGAGGCUGUGGGGUUCUGUCUUCUGGAGGCCCCACUAGGCCUAAGAGAUGAGGCCGGCGGCGGAGGUCUGGCCUGGAAGAGAAAUGUGGUGAGUCACCCCAGGCCUGACAGAUUCACUCAGACCUGGUCCUUCUGCUCCUAGGCUGAGCCAUCUCUCAGGGACCCUCCUGCCCUCCUUCACCUCUCACCUGGCCUGCCCCAACCAGUUCUCCAGGCAAGCCCAAACCAGUUCCACCUGGUUUGUGACUGUGUUUGGAAAGAGGGUCUUUGCCGAGGUAAUUAAGUUAAAAUGAGGUCAUGUGAGUGGGCCCUGAGCCAGUCUGAUGGGUGUCCUUACAGGAAGACAUUAGGACUCCCAGAGGGUGACUCCAGGGGCAGGUGGCUUGGAGGACUGGCCGUGCAAGGAGGCAGCAAAGGGGCGGCCAUCUGCAAGCUGAGGGCAGAGGCCUUGGAGGAAGCAGCCCUGCCAGUGCUGGUAACUGUGAGUGCAUCUGUCUCUGUUGGUCAAGCCGGCAGCCUGGGGCAUUUUGCUGAGGCCGCCCCAGCCGCCUAGCAUAGUCGCCAAUAAGUCCCCGAGGUUCUGGUGUGCUCUCUGGACUAGUUUCCUGGGGUGGCUGCAACAAAUUGCCACAAACACAGUGGUUUAAACCACGCAAAUGUCGCUCCCGCAGCCUGCAGGUCGGAAGUCCAAACCAAGGUGCUGGAAGGGCUGGUUCCUUCCGGACCCUUCAGGGGAGAAUCUUUCUGCCUCUUUGGCUUCUUGAGGCCCCUUCCUGGCAUUGCUUCUUUCUCCACUGACUCCUACCAUCAGCGCUGAGUCCUGCCUGCCUCUUAUAAGAUCUUCAGAGGCCACCUGGGAUGUCAGAAGCUUCCAGGAACCAGGAGGUAGCUGCAUCUCCUGUCCCUUCCCUGAGUCACCUUGCUGGACUCCACAGUGUGGUGCAGACAAGAAGCUGCAGGGGACAACAUGGAAGGAAGCGGGGAUGGAGGAGAUGGAAUGGGAUGGGCUCUGGGCCCGGCCAAGCAGAGCAGGAUAGGGCUGAGAGUCAUCUGAGCACAGGUGGUUCAAAUGGCAGAGAAGCUCCACGCUGGAGCGGGGAAGAGCUUGGGCUUUCCGGCCAGAAAGCGCAGGUUUUGGCCACGGCUCUUCUGCCACUCACUAGAUGUGGGAGUUUGGAGGCGUUACCCGAGCUCUGAGCCUUACUUUCCUCAUCUGAAAAAUGGGAAUA
Molecule: long non-coding RNA, 4052 nt
Organism: Homo sapiens (human)
Lineage: Eukaryota; Metazoa; Chordata; Mammalia; Primates; Hominidae
Source: Ensembl